CACACACACACAUAUAUACAUAUCUAUAUCUAUAUCUAUAUAUCUAUAUAUAUAUGUGUGUGUGUGUGUGUGUGUGUG
Molecule: microRNA precursor, 78 nt
Filed under: Podarcis lilfordi (Lilford's wall lizard)
Lineage: Eukaryota; Metazoa; Chordata; Lepidosauria; Squamata; Lacertidae
Source: RNAcentral